UUUUAAACAUUUGGCAUUUGGAAAGCAAACUAUUGUUGGAGAAAAAUUUUCAAGAAAACUUACCAUGAAGAAACUGCGAGGGCCUUGAACAAGCUGCUUCAGCUUGUGCUUGCGCAUCUCGGAUUCAUGACUGGGAUUUAAGAGAUCAACUGCCAACUACUUUGUUAGUGUUUUUCUGAUGAUUUAUAACAUACCACCAUCUUGUUAGUGAAUUGCUCGGGGUAGAAGCUGAGAUGUGUGUGCAGGGUUUCUUGUCUAUCUUCAAAAAGCAGUCACACCAAAGCUUUUGUUGUUACUCGUAAAUAGUGCAGCACUUUAAAGUAACGUUAUGCCAUUAAAAUUACAAAUGCAAGGAAAAUAUAUUUUAUUUAGGGAAUGAAAGGUUGUAGAUUAGCAUGCCCUUGUACUCAUUUGACACAUUUUAUAUUAAUUUAGUUUUUUUUAGCAUUUCAGGCUUGUGCAACAAUUCUAUGCUUUACUCCCCUCUUUAUAUUCUUGGUG
Molecule: non-coding RNA, 501 nt
Organism: Schizosaccharomyces pombe (fission yeast)
Lineage: Eukaryota; Fungi; Ascomycota; Schizosaccharomycetes; Schizosaccharomycetales; Schizosaccharomycetaceae
Source: the annotation of a GenBank genome assembly